UCCCUACCCUUUGGGCCUUCAGCUAUGACAGAGACUCCACUUUCAACGUGUUUGUGGGAAAAGGACAGCUGAUCACAGGGAUGGACCAGGCUCUUGUUGGGAUGUGCGUAAACGAGAGACGUUUCGUGAAGAUUCCCCCAAAGCUUGCCUACGGAAGUGAAGGAGUUUGUAAGCUUUUCUUCCUCGUUUAUAAACACGUCAGCAGAAACAAUGAGAACACUUUUAGGAUGUUAAGUCAAACAGACUGGAGAAUCUUGGAAGCUUUAGAUUGGGGGGAAAUGAAAAGCAGUGAACUCAUACACAGCUAAAAUUUCCAUCUUAGGUUUAUUUCUUCUAGAUGUGAAAGAAAGUGUCAUUAACACAGAUGUAUUGAAUGAUACCCUCAAUGAGAAGAAGACUGUUUUUUCUCUUUUCUUUCAAUUUCAUUUGGAGGAAAGAGGGAGGAAGAAUGGGUCAUUUUGGGAUUGUAUAGCGGUGACUGCUUGAACCCUUUUGGCCCACAUUCACCUUGGGAGCAUCCUAGGUGUUUAUUUAUCUGGCCUGAAAGGCAGCAACUGUGAACUCAGUGUGUAAUCUUUAAUUUCUAGCUGGUGUGAUCCCCCCCAAUUCAGUGCUUCAUUUUGAUGUACUUCUGAUGGAUAUUUGGAAUUCUGAAGACCAGGUUCAGAUUCACACCUAUUUCAAGCCCCCGAGUUGCCCUCGGACCAUCCAGGUGUCUGAUUUUGUGAGGUACCACUACAACGGGACGUUCCUGGACGGAACUCUGUUUGAUUCGAGUCACAAUCGCAUGAAAACAUAUGACACGUAUGUGGGAAUUGGCUGGCUGAUU
This 829-nucleotide small RNA is filed under the name Pan troglodytes (chimpanzee). RNAcentral's name for it is "retained intron". The record is from RNAcentral. Lineage: Eukaryota; Metazoa; Chordata; Mammalia; Primates; Hominidae.